Long non-coding RNA from Oncorhynchus keta (chum salmon), 964 nucleotides. RefSeq lists it as uncharacterized. The transcript is spliced from 3 exons. The record is from RefSeq and is a predicted model, not a curated record. Lineage: Eukaryota; Metazoa; Chordata; Actinopteri; Salmoniformes; Salmonidae.
CUAAUGUUUUCCCUCGACAGUAUGUGGUUAAUUUUCAGAAUAAGAGAAUUAGGUGAAAAUGAGGCGUUGCUUGUUAAACAAGUGGAUUCAGGGAUCAAGUGUAGCUGUAGCCGGGCCUGGCUUAAGUUGGAUGCCACUAUAGAGGUGAAAAUGAGGCGUUGCUUGUUAAACAAGUGGAUGCAGGGAUCAAGUGUAGCUGUAGCCGGGUCUGGCUUAAGAUGGAUGCCUCUAUAGAGGUGAAAAUGAGGCGUUGCUUGUUAAACAAGUGGAUGCAGGGAUCAAGUGUAGCUGUAGCCGGGCCUGGCUUAAGAUGGAUGCCACUAUAGAGGUGAAAAUGAGGCGUUGCUUGUUAAACAAGUGGAUUCAGGGAUCAAGUGUAGCUGUAACCUGGCCUGGCUUAAGAUGGAUGCCACUAUAGAGGUGAAAAUGAGGCGUUGCUUGUUAAACAAGUGGAUGCAGGGAUCAAGUGUAGCUGUAACCGGGCCUGGCUUAAGAUGGAUGCCACUAUAGAGGUGAAAAUGAGGCGUUGCUUGUUAAACAAGUGGAUGCAGGGAUCAAGUGUAGCUGUAACCUGGCCUGGCUUAAACUGGAUGCCUCUAUAGAGGUGAAAAUGAGGCGUUGCUUGUUAAACAAGUGGAUUCAGGGAUCAAGUGUAGCUGUAACCUGGCCUGGCUUAAGAUGGAUGCCUCUAUAGAGGUGAAAAUGAGGCGUUGCUUGUUAAACAAGUGGAUUCAGGGAUCAAGUGUAGCUGUAACCUGGCCUGGCUUAAGAUGGAUGCCUCUAUAGAGGUGAAAAUGAGGCGUUGCUUGUUAAACAAGUGGAUUCAGGGAUCAAGUGUAGCUGUAACCUGGCCUGGCUUAAGAUGGAUGCCACUAUAGAGGUGAAAAUGAGGCGUUGCUUGUUAAACAAGUGGAUUCAGGGAUCAAGUGUAGCUGUAACCUGGCCUGGCUUAAGAUGGAUGCCU